Molecule: ribosomal RNA, 510 nt
Filed under: Salmonella enterica
Lineage: Bacteria; Pseudomonadati; Pseudomonadota; Gammaproteobacteria; Enterobacterales; Enterobacteriaceae
Description: bacterial SSU rRNA
Rfam family: Bacterial small subunit ribosomal RNA
Source: RNAcentral
UAGAAUUCCAGGUGUAGCGGUGAAAUGCGUAGAGAUCUGGAGGAAUACCGGUGGCGAAGGCGGCCCCCUGGACAAAGACUGACGCUCAGGUGCGAAAGCGUGGGGAGCAAACAGGAUUAGAUACCCUGGUAGUCCACGCCGUAAACGAUGUCUACUUGGAGGUUGUGCCCUUGAGGCGUGGCUUCCGGAGCUAACGCGUUAAGUAGACCGCCUGGGGAGUACGGCCGCAAGGUUAAAACUCAAAUGAAUUGACGGGGGCCCGCACAAGCGGUGGAGCAUGUGGUUUAAUUCGAUGCAACGCGAAGAACCUUACCUGGUCUUGACAUCCACAGAACUUUCCAGAGAUGGAUUGGUGCCUUCGGGAACUGUGAGACAGGUGCUGCAUGGCUGUCGUCAGCUCGUGUUGUGAAAUGUUGGGUUAAGUCCCGCAACGAGCGCAACCCUUAUCCUUUGUUGCCAGCGAUUAGGUCGGGAACUCAAAGGAGACUGCCAGUGAUAAACUGGAGGAAG